This 430-nucleotide ribosomal RNA is filed under the name uncultured bacterium. RNAcentral describes it as "partial 16S ribosomal RNA". It matches the Rfam family "Bacterial small subunit ribosomal RNA", at positions 338 to 795 of the family's 1533-position model. The record is from RNAcentral.
CCUACGGGUGGCUGCAGUCGAGAAUCUUCGGCAAUGGGCGAAAGCCUGACCGAGCGACGCCGCGUGCGGGAUGAAGGCCUUCGGGUUGUAAACCGCUGCGAUAGAACAGGCUGAUACUAGGAGGAAGGGUGGGCUAAGCUCGUGCCAGCAGCCGCGGUAAGACGAGCCACCCAAACGUUAUUCGGAAUUACUGGGCUUAAAGCGUGCGUAGACGGCCUGCAAAGUUGGGUGUGAAAUCCCUCGGCUUAACCGAGGAAUUGCGCUCAAAACUAGUAGGCUAGAGGGAGAUAGAGGUAAGCGGAACUGAUGGUGGAGCGGUGAAAUGUGUUGAUAUCAUCAGGAACACCGGUGGCGAAGGCGGCUUACUGGGUCUUCUGACGCUGAGGCACGAAAGCCAGGGUAGCGAACGGGAUUAGAUACCCUUGUAGUC